CGGAUAAAGGUGUUAAAGAAUGUUACAAAGCUUUACCAAGAAAGUUGGAAAAACUAGCCCACUAGGAAAUACCAAUUUAUCCUCUCUAGAACCCUAUUAUUUACGUCUAUUCCAUUACCAAUUACACCCACCAUAUUUUUUCAUCAAUAUCCCGCCAUAUUCACGCUUCUUUCAGAAUGCUCUCCCUCCUUUCAACGGUAGGGGUAUUAGGAAGCAAGUUGAUUUGAGAAUCGGAUUGAUAUAUAUUAUUCUUGUAUUGGAGAUGAAAUUAUUGUGUAUAUACAUCUUCAUUAUCAAGUUACACAAAGGAUGAUGGUGGAUGGGAUUUUUGUCCAUAUGAUAAUUUUGUUUUGUUUGAGCAGACCUGACACUUGAAGAUAUCAUAUACAAGA
Molecule: long non-coding RNA, 392 nt
Organism: Erigeron canadensis
Lineage: Eukaryota; Viridiplantae; Streptophyta; Magnoliopsida; Asterales; Asteraceae
Exons: 3
Source: RefSeq, a predicted model, not a curated record